UGGGGGAUAUUGCACAAUGGGCGAAAGCCUGAUGCAGCGACGCCGCGUGGGGGAUGAAGGCCUUCGGGUUGUAAACUUCUUUUGCUCUGAACAAGGCAUGCUAAUGGGUGUGUUGAGUGUAGGGGUUGAUUAGUGCCGGCUAACUACGUGCCAGCAGCCGCGGUAAUACGUAGGGCGCGAGCGUUGUCCGGAAUUAUUGGGCGUAAAGGGCUUGUAGGUGGCUGGUUGCGUCUGUCGUGAAAGCUCAUGGCUUAACUGUGGGUUUGCGGUGGGUACGGGCUGGCUUGAGUGCAGUAGGGGAGGCUGGAAUUCCUGGUGUAGCGGUGGAAUGCGCAGAUAUCAGGAGGAAUACCGGUGGCGAAGGCGGGUCUCUGGGCUGUUACUGACACUGAGGAGCGAAAGCAUGGGGAGCGAACAGG
RNAcentral lists this ribosomal RNA (419 nucleotides) under bacterium. RNAcentral describes it as "partial 16S ribosomal RNA". It matches the Rfam family "Bacterial small subunit ribosomal RNA", at positions 355 to 776 of the family's 1533-position model. The record is from RNAcentral.